UACGUAGGGUGCGAGCGUUAAUCGGAAUUACUGGGCGUAAAGCGCGCGUAGGCGGCUAAUUAAGUCAAAUGUGAAAUCCCCGAGCUUAACUUGGGAAUUGCAUUCGAUACUGGUUAGCUAGAGUGUGGGAGAGGAUGGUAGAAUUCCAGGUGUAGCGGUGAAAUGCGUAGAGAUCUGGAGGAAUACCGAUGGCGAAGGCAGCCAUCUGGCCUAACACUGACGCUGAGGUGCGAAAGCAUGGGGAGCAAACAGG
Molecule: ribosomal RNA, 253 nt
Filed under: uncultured bacterium
Lineage: Bacteria
Description: partial 16S ribosomal RNA
Rfam family: Bacterial small subunit ribosomal RNA
Source: RNAcentral